CCGCGGGAAUUCGAUUAGAGUUUGAUCCUGGCUCAGAACGAACGCUGGCGGCGUGCCUAACACAUGCAAGUCGAGCGAGAAAGUCCCGGCAACGGGAUGAGUACAGCGGCGAACGGGUGAGUAACGCGUGGGUAAUCUACCCUCCAGCUCGGGAUAACCUGCCGAAAGGUGGGCUAAUACCGGAUGAUGUCCCCGUGGGGAUCCUGCGGGAAGCAAAGGGGGCGAGCGUAAGCAGCUCUCACUGGAGGAGGAGCCUGCGUCCGAUUAGCUAGUUGGUGGGGUAAUGGCCUACCAAGGCGACGAUCGGUAGCCGGCCUGAGAGGGCGAUCGGCCACACUGGAACUGAGACACGGUCCAGACUCCUACGGGAGGCAGCAGUGGGGAAUCUUGCGCAAUGGGCGAAAGCCUGACGCAGCGACGCCGCGUGGGCGAUGAAGGCCUUCGGGUCGUAAAGCCCUGUCGGGUGGGACGAAUACUCCUGGUGGCGAAUAACCACCGGGCUUGUACGGUACCACCGAAGGAAG
Molecule: ribosomal RNA, 524 nt
Filed under: uncultured bacterium
Lineage: Bacteria
Description: partial 16S ribosomal RNA
Rfam family: Bacterial small subunit ribosomal RNA
Source: RNAcentral